CCUACGGUCGGCAGCAGUGGGGAAUAUUGCACAAUGGGGGGAACCCUGAUGCAGCGACGCCGCGUGGUUGAAGGAGUAUUUCGGUAUGUAAAGCCCUAUCAGCAGGGAAUAACAAUGACGGUACCUGACUAAUAAGCACCGGCUAAAUACGUGCCAGCAGCCGCGGUAAUACGUAUGGUGCAAGCGUUAUCCGGAUUUACUGGGUGUAAAGGGAGCGCAAGAGGCGCGUUAAGCCUGUUGUGAAAGUCCGCGGCUCAACCGUGGGACUGCAUUGGGAACUGGAGCGCUGGAGUGCCGGAGGGGUAGGCGGAAGUCCUAGUGUAGCGGUGAAAUGCGUAGCUAUUAGGAGGAACACCAGUGGCGCAGGCGGCCUACUGGACGGUGACUGACGCUGAGGCUCGAAAGCGUGGGGAGCAAACAGGAUUAGAUACCCCAGUAGUC
Molecule: ribosomal RNA, 441 nt
Filed under: uncultured bacterium
Lineage: Bacteria
Description: partial 16S ribosomal RNA
Rfam family: Bacterial small subunit ribosomal RNA
Source: RNAcentral